RNAcentral lists this ribosomal RNA (412 nucleotides) under uncultured bacterium. Its description in RNAcentral is "bacterial SSU rRNA". It matches the Rfam family "Bacterial small subunit ribosomal RNA", at positions 505 to 916 of the family's 1533-position model. The record is from RNAcentral.
GUGCCAGCCGCCGCGGUAAUACGGAGGGUGCGAGCGUUAAUCGGAAUUGCUGGGCGUAAAGGGCGCGUAGGCGGUCGCGCAAGUCGGGUGUGAAAGCCCCGGGCUCAACCUGGGAAUUGCAUUCGAUACUGCGUAACUAGAGUCUGGUAGAGGGAAGCGGAAUUCCGCAUGUAGCGGUGAAAUGCGUAGAUAUGCGGAGGAACACCAGUGGCGAAGGCGGCUUCCUGGACCAAGACUGACGCUGAGGCGCGAAAGCGUGGGGAGCAAACAGGAUUAGAUACCCUGGUAGUCCACGCCCUAAACGAUGAGGACUAGACGUUGGGGGAUAAAACCCUUUAGUGUCGCAGCUAACGCGUGAAGUCCUCCGCCUGGGGAGUACGGCCGCAAGGUUGAAACUCAAAUGAAUUGGCGG